RNAcentral lists this ribosomal RNA (477 nucleotides) under Cronobacter sakazakii. RNAcentral describes it as "partial 23S ribosomal RNA". It matches the Rfam family "Bacterial large subunit ribosomal RNA", at positions 446 to 925 of the family's 2925-position model. The record is from RNAcentral. Lineage: Bacteria; Pseudomonadati; Pseudomonadota; Gammaproteobacteria; Enterobacterales; Enterobacteriaceae.
GGGGGGACCAUCCUCCAAGGCUAAAUACUCCUGACUGACCGAUAGUGAACCAGUACCGUGAGGGAAAGGCGAAAAGAACCCCGGCGAGGGGAGUGAAACAGAACCUGAAACCGUGUACGUACAAGCAGUGGGAGCCUUCGUAAGAGGGUGACUGCGUACCUUUUGUAUAAUGGGUCAGCGACUUAUAUUCUGUAGCAAGGUUAACCGUAUAGGGGAGCCGAAGGGAAACCGAGUCUUAACCGGGCGUUAAGUUGCAGGGUAUAGACCCGAAACCCGGUGAUCUAGCCAUGGGCAGGUUGAAGGUUGGGUAACACUAACUGGAGGACCGAACCGACUAAUGUUGAAAAAUUAGCGGAUGACCUGUGGCUGGGGGUGAAAGGCCAAUCAAACCGGGAGAUAGCUGGUUCUCCCCGAAAGCUAUUUAGGUAGCGCCUCGUGAACUCAUCUCCGGGGGUAGAGCACUGUUUCGGCUAGGGG